RNAcentral lists this ribosomal RNA (466 nucleotides) under uncultured bacterium. RNAcentral's name for it is "partial 16S ribosomal RNA". It matches the Rfam family "Bacterial small subunit ribosomal RNA", at positions 28 to 507 of the family's 1533-position model. The record is from RNAcentral.
GAUGAACGCUGGCGGCGUGCUUAACACAUGCAAGUCGAACGGAAAGGCUCCUGCUUGCAGGGUUACUCGAGUGGCGAACGGGUGAGUAACACUUGGGUGAUCUGCCCUUCACUUCGGGAUAAGCCUGGGAAACUGGGUCUCAUACCGGUUAGGCCUAUGGUUUUUAUGCCAUUUUUGUAAGUUUUUUCGGUGUGGGAUGAGCUCGCGGCCUAUCAGCUUGUUUGUGUGGUAAUGGCCUACCAAGGCGUCGACGGGUAGCCGGCCUGAGAGGGUGUACGGCAAAAUUGGGACUGAGAUACGGCACAGACUCGUAAGGGAGGCAGCAGUAGGGAAUAUUGCACAAUGGGGGCAAGCCGGAUGCAGCGACGCGGCGUGGUGGAUGACGGACUGCGGGUUGUAAACAACUUUCGCUAGGGACGGAGCGCAAGUGACGGUACCUGGAGAAGAAGCACCGGCUAACUACGUG